This 660-nucleotide long non-coding RNA is filed under the name Gallus gallus (chicken). RNAcentral describes it as "long non-coding RNA NONGGAT008014". The record is from RNAcentral. Lineage: Eukaryota; Metazoa; Chordata; Aves; Galliformes; Phasianidae.
AGAAGGAGAAUGAUGCAAUUAAAUGAGGUCAAAAUUAAUCUCUUGAAACCUGUGCGAAGAGUACCCUCCCUAGAACAGGAGCAGAAAAUAGCAGCUUUGGUCACUUUGUAUGGUGAUGAUUGCAAUAAGAAUGGGAAAUAGUACACUUCCCUCUUGUCUUUUGCAGCCUCUAGAGUCAAUGAAUGAUCAUUUUGGUUCCUUCUCAGAUUGAGGAGUGAAUGACUAAUGUCAUUGUGACUGCUGCCAUCUAAUUUCUGCAAAAGAAUUCUCUGGCAGUUCUCAUGAUUGGCAUCAUUUCCCAUCAUGUGCAAGCUGUUGGACAGAGAAGACCUGCUUCUGAACUGUCGUGGUAUGGAGAAGAUAUAGAAGUACUGGGUUCCUAGAGCAGUUCAAUGCCUGCUGGGGAGAGGUGACAUUCAAGUGAUGAAGAAAUAGGAGUCUGCACCAUUCGUCAGCCUAGCGAGAAGGCGGCUCUAUGCUCACUUUGAAAGAGGGCAGUGCAAAAGUUACCUAGCGAUGUGAGUACUCUGGGCACGGCGGAGGAGCUUCCCACUGAAUGCGGCACAGCGGCACAGCUGCUGAGGAGAGCAUGGCAACAGCAAGAAAUGGAAUUCACUGAAGAAAGCGCUUGACAAGCCAUGUGAGAACCAGCGUGAGCAG